UCAGAUUGAACGCUGGCGGAAUGCUUUACACAUGCAAGUCGAACGGCAGCACGGGGGCAACCCUGGUGGCGAGUGGCGAACGGGUGAGUAAUAUAUCGGAACGUGCCCAGUCGUGGGGGAUAACGUAGCGAAAGUUACGCUAAUACCGCAUACGAUCUACGGAUGAAAGCGGGGGAUCGCAAGACCUCGCGCGAUUGGAGCGGCCGAUAUCAGAUUAGGUAGUUGGUGGGGUAAAGGCUCACCAAGCCAACGAUCUGUAGCUGGUCUGAGAGGACGACCAGCCACACUGGGACUGAGACACGGCCCAGACUCCUACGGGAGGCAGCAGUGGGGAAUUUUGGACAAUGGACGCAAGUCUGAUCCAGCCAUUCCGCGUGCAGGACGAAGGCCUUCGGGUUGUAAACUGCUUUUGUACGGAACGAAAAAGCUCUUACUAAUACUAGGAGUCCAUGACGGUACCGUAAGAAUAAGCACCGGCUAACUACGUGCCAGCAGCCGCGGUAAUACGUAGGGUGCGAGCGUUAAUCGGAAUUACUGGGCGUAAAGCGUGCGCAGGCGGUUAUAUAAGACAGAUGUGAAAUCCCCGGGCUCAACCUGGGAACUGCAUUUGUGACUGUAUAGCUAGAGUGCGGCAGAGGGGGAUGGAAUUCCGCGUGUAGCAGUGAAAUGCGUAGAUAUGCGGAGGAACACCGAUGGCGAAGGCA
Molecule: ribosomal RNA, 704 nt
Filed under: Pseudomonadota bacterium
Lineage: Bacteria; Pseudomonadati; Pseudomonadota
Description: bacterial SSU rRNA
Rfam family: Bacterial small subunit ribosomal RNA
Source: RNAcentral